UGCAGCUCAGAUUCCCCGCCGCAGCCCGAGCUGCUCUGUGACGGGAAAGAGAAAUGGCGGGAUCUUCCCGCGGACCGCUCAGUCUUGGCCCCAGAGCGAUCCGCAGCCUGGAGAGCUGCACAACAGGCUCAUCCCUCUUCUAACGUGCUGUGGUCAGCAGUGAGACAGCGAACCGUGCUGCCACUUAUCGCUGGUCUCUGCGUAGAGAAAUGCCCUUCAGAACUGUUGUUGCAGGUUCGCAGUAAACGCAGGAGAGGUUUCUGGCCCCAUGGAUAGUGGCAUACAAGCUCAAGUGAGACUCCAAAGUACAUAAAUGAGAAAUCCUGGCACAAUGGUCUCAGACAGCCCCAGGCAAGGUCAGAGAAAGGACUUUCAACAGCAACAGCAGCAAUUCACUUCAGUUUGCCUGAGAGAAUGAGACCACAGCACUCAUGCACUAGCUUAGUACAAGUAAUGCAUGGUAAUAAAGGACAGA
Mauremys mutica (yellowpond turtle) is the source of this 475-nucleotide long non-coding RNA. RefSeq lists it as uncharacterized. The transcript is spliced from 2 exons. Lineage: Eukaryota; Metazoa; Chordata; Testudines; Geoemydidae. The record is from RefSeq and is a predicted model, not a curated record.